GACGAACGCUGGCGGCGUGCUUAACACAUGCAAGUCGAACGAAGUGGGAACGGGUGAGUAAUACGUGAGUAACCUCCCUCCUUUUUGGGAUAAGCCUUGGAAACGGGGUCUAAACCGGAUUGAUGGGCUCGCGUCGUAUCAGCUUGUUGGUGGGGUGAUGGCCUACCAAGGCGGUGACGGGUAGCCGGCCUGAGAGGGUGAACGGGCACAUUGGGACUUGGUAACGGGCCAGACUCCCUCGGGGGGCAGCAGGAGGGAAACAUCGGAAAUGGAGGGAAGUCUGACUGAGCAACGCCGGGUGAGUGAAGAAGGGUUUCGGAUCGUAAAGCCAUGUUGUUAGAGAAGCGGUAACUAACCAGAAAGCGACGGCUAACUACGUGCCAGCAGCCGCGGUAAUAC
Molecule: ribosomal RNA, 399 nt
Filed under: uncultured bacterium
Lineage: Bacteria
Description: partial 16S ribosomal RNA
Rfam family: Bacterial small subunit ribosomal RNA
Source: RNAcentral